This 88-nucleotide non-coding RNA is filed under the name Pseudomonas aeruginosa 9BR. RNAcentral describes it as "DUF3800-VII RNA". It matches the Rfam family "DUF3800-VII RNA". The record is from Rfam by way of RNAcentral. Lineage: Bacteria; Pseudomonadati; Pseudomonadota; Gammaproteobacteria; Pseudomonadales; Pseudomonadaceae.
UGCAGGCAAGCGUGAGGUUUGUAGAGGUUGCUGGAGACAGCGACAGCCCUUGACGGGCGGGAUCCUCGAACUCAGGGCCUGCUUUUUU